UACGUAGGGUGCAAGCGUUAAUCGGAAUUACUGGGCGUAAAGCGUGCGUAGGCGGCUUUGUAAGUCAGAUGUGAAAUCCCCGGGCUCAACCUGGGAACUGCAUUUGUGACUGCAUGGCUGGAGUGCGGCAGAGGGGGAUGGAAUUCCGCGUGUAGCAGUGAAAUGCGUAGAUAUGCGGAGGAACACCGAUGGCGAAGGCAGUCCCCUGGGCCUGCACUGACGCUCAUGCACGAAAGCGUGGGGAGCAAACAGG
RNAcentral lists this ribosomal RNA (253 nucleotides) under uncultured bacterium. Its description in RNAcentral is "partial 16S ribosomal RNA". It matches the Rfam family "Bacterial small subunit ribosomal RNA", at positions 524 to 776 of the family's 1533-position model. The record is from RNAcentral.